RNAcentral lists this ribosomal RNA (497 nucleotides) under uncultured bacterium. RNAcentral's name for it is "partial 16S ribosomal RNA". It matches the Rfam family "Bacterial small subunit ribosomal RNA", at positions 28 to 507 of the family's 1533-position model. The record is from RNAcentral.
GAUGAACGCUGGCGGCGUGCCUAAUACAUGCAAGUCGAGCGAACGGACGAGAAGCUUGCUUCUCUGAUGUUAGCGGCGGACGGGUGAGUAACACGUGGAUAACCUACCUAUAAGACUGGGAUAACUUCGGGAAACCGGAGCUAAUACCGGAUGAUAUUUUGAACCGCAUGGUUCAAAAGUGAAAGACGGUCUUGCUGUCACUUAUAGAUGGAUCCGCGCUGCAUUAGCUAGUUGGUAAGGUAACGGCUUACCAAGGCAACGAUGCAUAGCCGACCUGAGAGGGGUGUCCGGCCACACUGAAACGGAGCCAGGGCCAGGCUCCCACGGGAAGGAAGAGGUGGGAAUCCUCCCCAAAUGGGCGAAACCUUACCGAGCAACGCCGCGUGAGUGAUGAAGGUCUUCGGAUCGUAAAACUCUGUUACUAGGGAAGAACAUAUGUGUAAGUAACUGUGCACAUCUUGACGGUACCUAAUCAGAAAGCCACGGCUAACUACGUG